This 91-nucleotide non-coding RNA is filed under the name zebrafish metagenome. Its description in RNAcentral is "Purine riboswitch". It matches the Rfam family "Purine riboswitch aptamer", at positions 7 to 97 of the family's 102-position model. Rfam says of the family: Riboswitches are metabolite binding domains within certain messenger RNAs that serve as precision sensors for their corresponding targets. Allosteric rearrangement of mRNA structure is mediated by ligand binding, and this results in modulation of gene expression. The record is from RNAcentral.
CUUAUAUAUACGACUACAUAUAUCUUCAGAAAUUGGUCUGAAAGUCUCUACCCCCACGCCGUAAACAAGGGGACUAUGUAGAAGUGUUUUU